This 254-nucleotide ribosomal RNA is filed under the name uncultured bacterium. RNAcentral describes it as "partial 16S ribosomal RNA". It matches the Rfam family "Bacterial small subunit ribosomal RNA", at positions 524 to 776 of the family's 1533-position model. The record is from RNAcentral.
UACGUAGGGUGCAAGCGUUAAUCGGAAUUACUGGGCGUAAAGCGUGCGCAGGCGGUCUGUUAAGACCGAUGUGAAAUCCCCCGGGCUUAACCUGGGAACUGCAUUGGUGACUGGCGGGCUUGAGUGUGGCAGAGGGGGGUGGAAUUCCGCGUGUAGCAGUGAAAUGCGUAGAGAUGCGGAGGAACACCGAUGGCGAAGGCAGCCCCCUGGGCUAACACUGACGCUGAGGCACGAAAGCGUGGGGAGCAAACAGG